This 395-nucleotide ribosomal RNA is filed under the name Tannerella forsythia. RNAcentral describes it as "bacterial SSU rRNA". It matches the Rfam family "Bacterial small subunit ribosomal RNA", at positions 28 to 420 of the family's 1533-position model. The record is from RNAcentral. Lineage: Bacteria; Pseudomonadati; Bacteroidota; Bacteroidia; Bacteroidales; Tannerellaceae.
GAUGAACGCUAGCGAUAGGCUUAACACAUGCAAGUCGAGGGGCAGCGAGGGUAGCAAUACCUGUCGGCGACCGGCGCACGGGUGAGUAACGCGUAUGUAACCUGCCCGCAACAGGGGGAUAACCCGGCGAAAGUAGGACUAAUACCGCAUAAAACAGGGGUCCCGCAUGGGAAUAUUUGUUAAAGAUUUAUCGGUUGCGGAUGGGCAUGCGUACCAUUAGGUAGUUGGUGAGGUAAGGCUCACCAAGCCCUCGAUGGUUAGGGGUUCUGAGAGGAAGGUCCCCCACACUGGUACUGAGACACGGACCAGACUCCUACGGGAGGCAGCAGUGAGGAAUAUUGGUCAAUGGGCGAGAGCCUGAACCAGCCAAGUCGCGUGAAGGAUGACUGCCCUAU